UCCUACGGGGUGCAGCAGUCGCGAAACCUUGACAAUGCGGGAAACCGUGAUCAGGGGACUCCAAGUGCCAGGAGUAAGAUCCUGUGCUUUUCUUUUCUCUUCAAAGGAUUUGGAAUAAGAGGUGGGUAAGGACGGUGCCAGCCGCCGCGGUAAUACCGGCGCCUCGAGUGGUAGUCGAUUUUAUUGGGCCUAAAACGUCCGUCGCCGGUCUGGUGCAUUCGUGGGUAAAUCAACCCGCUCAACGGGUUGAAUUCUGCGAGCACGGCCAGACUAGGGACCGGGAGAGGUGUGGGGUACGCUCGGGGUAGGGGUAAAAUCCUGUCAUCCCGAGCGGACCACCUGUUGCGAAGGCUCCACACUAGAACGGAUCCGACGGUCAGGGACGAAGCCUAGGGGCACGAGCCGGAUUAGGUACCCGGGUAGUCCUAGGUGUAAACGCUGUGGACUUGGUGUUGGGAGCUCCCAGAGGGCUCUCAGUGCCGUAGCGAAAGUGAUAAGUCCACUGCCUGGGGAGUACGGUCGCAAGGCUGAAACUUAAAGGAAUUGGCGGGGGACACGCACCUGAGAUUGUGCGGUUAAUUGGAUUCACGCGAAACUCACAGUGCGACGACAAUGAAGCAGUACGACUUGCUGAUGUCGA
RNAcentral lists this ribosomal RNA (640 nucleotides) under uncultured Candidatus Poseidoniales archaeon. RNAcentral describes it as "bacterial SSU rRNA". It matches the Rfam family "Archaeal small subunit ribosomal RNA", at positions 321 to 983 of the family's 1478-position model. Lineage: Archaea; Methanobacteriati; Thermoplasmatota; Candidatus Poseidoniia; Candidatus Poseidoniales. The record is from RNAcentral.